RNAcentral lists this unclassified non-coding RNA (222 nucleotides) under uncultured fungus. RNAcentral's name for it is "sequence contains ITS1". Lineage: Eukaryota; Fungi. The record is from RNAcentral.
GUUUCUCAUUGUUUCUCUUUGGUUUCAGUGGAAAUAAGCAUUUGGGGUGUGUUGUCGAUGCUGGCGAUCCGCAAGACACCACAGUGUCAGCAGACCGCCAAAAUACGUCAAACGUUCACAAGGGUGUGUGUCUGCUCCUCGAGUCCACGCCGUUCAGCGUGAAUUCAAGCAGCAGAGGUUUUUUGAUUCGUAAUGAUCCAACCGCAGGUUCACCUACGGUUA